Molecule: long non-coding RNA, 2255 nt
Organism: Oncorhynchus nerka (sockeye salmon)
Lineage: Eukaryota; Metazoa; Chordata; Actinopteri; Salmoniformes; Salmonidae
Exons: 2
Source: RefSeq, a predicted model, not a curated record
UCACACUGACAGCGUCGUGAAGAAGGCGCAGCAGCGCCUCUUCAACCUCAGGAGGCUGAAGAAAUUCGGCUUGUCACCAAAAGCACUCACGAACUUCUACAGAUGCACAAUCGAGAGCAUCCUGGCGGGCUGUAUCACCGCCUGGUACGGCAACUGCUCCGCCCUCAACCGUAAGGCUCUCCAGAGGGUAGUGAGGUCUGCACAACGCAUCACCGGGGGCAAACUACCUGCCCUCCAGGACACCUACACCACCCGAUGUUACAGGAAGGCCAUAAAGAUCAUCAAGGACAUCAACCACCCGAACCACUGCCUGUUCACCCCGCUAUCAUCCAGAAGGCGAGGUCAGUACAGGUGCAUCAAAGCUGGGACUGAGAGACUGAAAAACAGCUUCUAUCUCAAGGCUAUCAGACUGUUAAACAGCCACCAUUGAGUGGCUGCUGCCAACACACUGUCAUUGACACUGACCCAACUCCAGCCACUUUAAUAAUGGGAAUUGAUGGGAAAUGAUGUAAAUAUAUCACUAGCCACUUUAAACAAUGCUACCUUAUAUAAUGUUACUUACCCUACAUUAUUCAUCUCAUAUGCAUACGUAUAUACUGUACUCUACAUCAUCGACUGCAUCCUUAUGUAAUACAUGUAUCACUAGCCACUUUAACUAUGCCACUUUGUUUACUUUGUCUACAUACUCAUCUCAUAUGUAUAUACUGUACUCGAUACCAUCUACUGUAUGCUGCUCUGUACCAUCACUCACUCAUAUAUCCUUAUGUACAUAUUCUUUAUCCCCUAACACUGUGUAUAAGACAGUAGUUUUAGAAUUGUUAGUUAGAUUACUUGUUGGUUAUCACUGCAUUGUCGGAACUAGAAGCACAAGCAUUUCGCUACACUCGCAUUAACAUCUGCUAACCAUGUGUAUGUGACAAAUAAAAUUUGAUUUGAUUUGAUUUGACUCCUUGCUGUCCCCAGUCCACCUGGCCAUGCUGCUGUUCCAGUUUCAACUUCCACCUGACUGUGCUGCUGCUCCAGUUUCAACUGUUCUGCCUUAUUAUUAUUCGACCAUGCUGGUCAUUUAUGAACAUUUGAACAUCUUGGCCAUGUUCUGUUAUAAUCUCCACCCGGCACAGCCAGAAGAGGACUGGCCACCCCACAUAGCCUGGUUCCUCUCUAGGUUUCUUCCUAGGUUUUGGCCUUUCUAGGGAGUUUUUCCUAGCCACCGUGCUUCUACACCUGCAUUGCUUGCUGUUUGGGGUUUUAGGCUGGGUUUCUGUACAGCACUUUGAGAUAUCAGCUGAUGUACGAAGGGCUAUAUAAAUAAAUUUGAUUUGAUUUGAUUUGAUUUCCUGAGCGGCCUGGUCAGAAGUCUCCAGGCAUCCCUGAACAAAAUAUUUCUUGGAAUCUUCAUCAAUGUGAAAAUGGCCAGGACACAAGAUGGAAUCACUGCCCCCUUUUCAGAUCCAGUCUACCUCAAAGCAGCUACCUUGGAUCCGGCUUUUUCUCUGAUGUGGGAGGAGCACCAUGUGCUGGUCAAGGAGAAGGUGGCACAAAGAGUGAAAGAACUGAUUCUGCGUGAUGCAACAGGGACUGAGCAAGCUGUGCCUCUUGUUGAUGAGGAAGAGCGAGAGGACCAUAGACUUGGACAAGAAGAAGGGCUGUUUGCAGCAUACUGUAAGAGACAGAAGAAAGCUGUUGGGAUCCCUCCAGCACUACAGCUAAGUCACUACCUUGACAUAUGCGAAGGACAGAAUGCCCUCUUGUUCUGGGCAAUGAACAGGAAGGCUCUUCCUUCACUGUGCCGAGUGGCCAUCAGGGUCUUGGCAGAGCCUCCAGUGCUCUGGUGGAGCGUGUCUUCAGCCAUGGUGGCAUCAUACCGCGACCUCAUCGUGCACAAAUGACUGACAGACUUUUAUCGAAUUCGGUCUUUGCAAAUGCAAUGCAGCAUAGGGCCCUGAGAUAAGAGAAAAAAUGAAACUGUUUAUGCAUUACACGUAGUCUCCAUGUUCAGGUUUUAUCUCCCAUCUUUGGAAUCUGUAUUUUUUCUCAGACAUUCAGUGUUCAAAUUAUAGACCUCAGUUCAGUUGUUUAGAUGUACCUUUAAAUAAAUGAUUGUAACUUUAUGGCAGGAUUGUUUUAGGUGAGAGAGAGAGUACUACAAUAUGUUGUUUUUGUUGUCAUAUUGAUGUGUCUGUCUCAUGGUUACCCAUGUAUUUCUAUGGAAAUAUAAAUUUUAUUUGGAAAGUAAUAAAUAUAUUUUUAAAGCA